This 361-nucleotide long non-coding RNA is filed under the name Elaeis guineensis (African oil palm). RNAcentral's name for it is "long non-coding RNA (EGUI_LNC002621)". The record is from RNAcentral. Lineage: Eukaryota; Viridiplantae; Streptophyta; Magnoliopsida; Arecales; Arecaceae.
UCCUUCACAUCCCUUUAUUUGUAACUUUUUAGAUUAUUACAGCAUUCUUCCCACCUAGAUAGCUUCCAAUAGGAUUAGGUCUCUUAUAGCCUUCAUUUUGAUCUGCGACAUCGUUAAAAUUUCUCCCCGAUAUUCUCUUUUUCGAUCUCUUUUUUCAUUAAAAAAGCAUCCCUCUGAUAAAGAUUGAUGGUAGUUCUCCCCUUGAUUAAGUGCAAGAUCGUAGUUGAUCUUCCAUCUUCGGUCUAUAGUUAGAAGGAUAGGUUCUUUUUUGUUUCUUCAAACCAAUCCUAUGGGUUUAAAAUCAUCUGAGAUAAACCACGGUUAGGGCCGAAUUAUAGGAAAGAUCCAUCAGAAGUAGACU